UUCUGAUCCAAGAAGCAAAUUUUACUGUUCAAUCCUUUUGUUGAGGCUUGCAGAAAAACAGGUUAAUCUAUCUUUUGUUCACAUGCCUUGCUACCUAAUUUUACAUGAGCUUUGCUUCACGGAUGUACAUAUUUUUCUUUAUCCUGUAAUGUUGACAGGCUCAUUUUUCUGGUAGUGAAGAAAUGAGAGGAAGUGGAAGGAUAUAAGGUAGCUUCUGCAGAAUCCAAGUAAGACUUUGUUCCUUACCCAUGCUUGAACAAAGAGCAGCACACAACAUGUAUGUUAGUGUUUCAAUUUCAAAUGAGGGAAUUUCAUAUCAUUAAUAGUGGUAACUAAUGAUUUAAAGUAACUUUUAGUUCUGCUAAAAUUAUUUUUCUUUUUUGAAUUUCCACAAAAUGGAAUAGUAAUGAUUUUAAGCUAAAUAAUGAGUUCUCUUUGUGUGUCACUAGGUAAUAGAAGGAAUAAGAAGCAAGUUUUAUAUAUUAUAUGGAAUACUUAUUUUAAAUAGCUAUUGAGUUAUGCCGUGUAGUUUCUUCUUGGUGUGUAUGUUGUUCUUAUGCUAUUUAAUAUGGUGACUAUUUAAUUUACUGUCAUACGGUUAAUUCCUUUGAAAUUCUUGGUCACCUGCUUAGAUAGUGACAAAUAGUGUAUUCUUUAUUAAUUUUUUUGUGCUGCGAUCUUCAUUUAUAUGCAGAACCAAACAUGUGGGUAGCCUAAAAGUACAUUUAAAACGCAAAUCGCCCUAAGAUAUCCCAGUGUGUGGUUUAACCUGAACAUAUCUUAACUUGCAAAUAAGCAUGAUUUUCUUACAACUUGCUUCUAUGAUGUCUCCCUUAUUUGCAUUCUUAAUCAGUAUACUUGGAGUCCACAUCCAAGAUCAAAGCAUCUAGCUCUGUGCACUCAGGUUCUCAGGAGUAUCUCACAAAUGAGUCAUCAUAGGUGAGAGAUGUCUCAUCCAGCCGGACGAUAUUAUUGACCAUUUAAUAGCAGCUGACCAACAGUUUUGGUAAUUAGAGAAGAAGACAAUUCCACAGAAGCAAAGCCAGUGCAUUGGUAGGGAGCUAAAUUAGCAGGCAUGCUACCUAUACUAAAUACAUGUUGUGCUUCAUCUCCCUUCUGUCCUUCUAUGUAUUGAACUCAUUGGCAUCUGAUGUAACCUGUUAAUAUUCUUAAUGAAAUCACCCAUAAUGGGCAUUUUUCUUAAAUAAAAGAUUACAGUAACCAUGACUAAGGCUUCAUAAAGGAUUGUGUCUCCCUUGGUGUUAUUUGCAACAGCUGAGUAGCUCCGGAGAGUGUCAAUGUAUGUGCCCAAACUCAGUAGAACAAGCACUAACGAUAGCAGAACUUGAAAAAUCGAGGAGAUGGCUCAUGGCUGCUCUCACCAUAUAGUUCAAAGGUUCACUAUCCAAUGAUGCUAUUUAUGUUUAGGGUACUUAUUGUAUAACUGGUUAUAACAGAUAUGUUGUUUUAUGAUGACAUAUAUUUAGGAAAGAACAUAUUCAAAUAGAGAAAUUUUGCUGUGUUAGAUUUUUAUUAUUACCAAGUAUAUGAGUUUGCUCUAUCUGGUUGUCUCAAAGUAUAACAGUUAUACGAGAAUAUGAUAAUCAAUUGCAUGUUUGUGAAGAACAGAGCCCUGUAAGUGUGGCAGUAUUGUCUCUUUCUAGAGACAUACUUGACUGCUUAUUAAGUUGUGGGUUGUUUUUUGACAGAUAUAUUUUCUCACUUUCUUACAACAACUUAGUCUCCAGUUAUUGUACAAGUCUGGUGCGCAAGUGUUGUUUCGUUCCAUCUUCAGUUUGAUUAUUGUUUUUUUUUGGUGAGAAAAUUUCUGAUCUAUUCAUCAACUGUCAAGGCAGUACAAUUCCUAUUUUUAUUUUUUAAACAGGGUUCCUAGAUCAAAUUGUCUGGGCUGGGACAAGAAAAGGAACAUGCUCUUGACUGAGCGCGGGCCACGGAGAUGGUGAGGAUGCCGAGCUGUCUGCGGCAUGGUCGUUGCUCCUCCGGACUUGGUAGGAGGAGUGAGGAGGUCGAUCCAUCCUCGGCUUCGUCGUCGUCGUGCAUCCGUCAAGAGAUGCUCGCGCGCCGGGAGACGAAUCCACAUCUGCUCCUGCUCGACUGCUUCCAAAUCGAGUGACGCAUGCUUCUGCUUGCUAUGGAGGCCGCUGCUCUGAUCCGCUCCAACUGCCAGCGAUGUUCCUCCUCAAGGUCAAGGUUGGUACCCAUAUUUGCUUCAGUUUGCUCUUCCCCCUCUCACUUACCUUCCCUCUCAUGCAUGCGCUUGGUUUCUUCCUCACGCAGGCAGGCUGGGUGGGCUCCUCGUCGGCGUCGGCUUUCCCUGCCUGCCACUGCUUUCUGAUGGAGCGGACCUUUGGAUGCUCCUGUGCCUCUGGUGGUGGGCUAGGUAACUCUCUUUCUUUAAUGUGCUCGUGGUCAUCUUUAUGCACUUCAAGCAGGGGGGCAAGCAGCUAGACUGAAUACGAAUCUCCUUGCAGUGUUUUACUAAAAGAAAAAUCAUAACAACAUUACAAAUAGUAAGUUGUUUCUCACUGACAAAACAUCAGUUUAAUUUGAUGGUUCGACACCGAUUUGCACUACUUGAGAAAUUAUUAGGAUUUACAAACUAAACUGGACAUUAUAAACAGCAAGCAAAAAAACAUGUCAUAGAACCACCCCUUGUUGUUCCAUGUAGAAAACUGAAACUAUAACCAUGUACUCCCUCUGUACAGAAAUAUAAGAGUGUUUAGAUCACUACUUGCCCAAGCAACACCAACAUAGAUAUGGGGGAGGAAGAGGAGACCUGGAUGGCACGUUCCGUCUCCCAUAAGUGACUGCGAUGGGAGGAUCAUGUCUCCGACAUCCUCCUGCAAGCCUGCAACUGCUGCCUGCCCUAGCAACGUAAUAAGGCGAGCCUCCCGCCCCACAACUUAUGGGAGCAAGAACUAGAGAUAAAAUAUGAUAACAAAUGUUUACCAAUAUAAUUAUGAUGUUGCCUGGGCAGUGAAGGUACUGGUGCCCGUGCGACGCAUCAUUGUUGUAAUGGAAAAUAGCAUAAUUUAGACGCCUAAUUUGUAGUUGUGCAAGUUGUAUCCUUUUUGAGGUGGAGCAACUUUGUGGUCUGCUAAUUUAGAGAGACUGGUUGGCCUUCAAUUAUUUGUGUCGUUGCUUGAUCCUACUAGCUCAGUGUGCAUUGGUUGUUUAAUUGUUUCCUGUUUAUACCCCCUACACGCACUAACCUUUUUAUCUAGCACUAAUGGUAUUUAUUUUAUCACAGGCUGGAACUGCUCUGUUGGAUCCUUACCUUUCUUUUGCAGUGACACUGAAUGGUUUGGCUGGUCCACAACACAGUCUCAGGUAAUCUUGAUUUUACAUGGUGAAUGUUCUAUGUUGCAUCAUGAUCAACCUGUGCUUGCCAAAUGGAUCUCCUUAAACAAAUUCUUCCUAAUAAAUUGCAAAAGUCCUAAUGGAGAAAAAUUAUGUUCGUGCCCUUCUAAAAUGAUGUAUGUACUUAUUGGCUUUGCGAGUUCCUCGCAGAUUGUGCUUUUCAUUCUUAUGUAGCAAUGCAUCACUUCUCUAGGUGAAAAAAUGAUAGAAACAAAUGCUCGGUUUAAAUAUGUUAGAUCCUUGAUUCAUUGCUAAGGUGUGCAAUUUAUUUUGGAUAGGGAUGGAUGGUCAAGUUGUAUAUGGCUUCCACCAUGUACGAGAUGAAAAGCCAUAUCUUGCUCAAGGACCAGUUGCAAAUAAGGUGCCGAAAGAAAUUCUUUAAUGGUGUAAUAUGUAGCGGCUUAAUGCUUUAAUGUAUGUCAUUGUUAAGUGAUAUCUUUAUGGAAGCCCAUAGUAAUUUACUGAAAUGUUUUGGUGAGGAGCUUAGCAUUCAGAAUGUGCUGGUUAGCAACAUCUUCAUUAGUUAAGUUGUCUUCUAUCAGUAGGAUAUAAGUAUGGCAGACUCAUAGAUCACGUGAUGUUGCACACAUAUGAAAGAACUCAUGCACCCAAGUUGUCCCAUAUUAUUAUUAUGUGGAUCCAGCUGUAUACUUGAUAGAUAAGCUGGAUGUGCAAGUUUUCUAGAAUAUGUAACUUCUGAAUAACAAGAAACUGGUUUCAAACGCUCCUUUUCAUUUGCUGUAUCAUAGUUAUCUAGUACCUAAGAAUUCUAUGUCGUGGAAGGUAAUGUCAAAAUACGUUUUUUUUGUGAUGAGCGCAAUUAAGAGUGUCAACACAAUAUUAAAACUAGAUUAAACAUUAGCUCUGACCAGAUGGCAAUAUAUUUUGUCAUAUUACAGGGCAGUUAAAGAGUGGAUGCCCAACUGCUCUGAUGUAGGCCGCUCCGAAUCAAUUAUCCGAUAUAUGGCGUCUCUUGAAGGUAACUAAGAAACCUGCGACGCAGUUUUUGUUGUGCCUGCAUUAUUUGCUAUGCCAGAAUACUUUCCAUUACCCAGUUCUACUUUGGUAUUUCCUUCUGCAUCGGCUUAUUAGAUUUCAACCUUACAUGUUCAUCUUGGAAAAGAUCUUACAUCAUAAUUUGGUGUCUCCGUUCAGUUCUAAUCAAUAAAAAAAAUUGUUGUUUCUUGUAAUGAUGAACAUUUUAUAGUUGUAGCAUAAUUAGAUGAUGAUAUUGUUAAAGGUUAACUGAUUUAUGAACAUACUUCCAUUAUUAUUCUGCAUAUUGCCAUUUCUUUUACUGUAUACACAACUUUCAAAAGUUGGCUAGGUAAUUGGUUCACACGUAGUGUGCAGUGACAUACCUCAUGCAAAUAUAAUCCACGAUAUUGUCUAUUUCUAUUGUGUGCUCACAUGACCACCGGAAUAUUUCACUAAUUUAUAUGCUUAGGCAGGUUCACUGGAUGAUAUGCAUCAUGGAUCGUAGGUACUAUUUGGUUUAGUUUAAUACAAUCUGCUGAUAUUAAGGUAUAAUAACUGAAAACUUCCAGAGGUUAAUGGGAAGGCAGAACUGAUAAGCAUAAGCAUAAGCAGCUAGAAAUGUUUUGUCUGCUUGUGAACAGAUAAAGCCAAAAAAGAAUGUGCGUUAUGAGUAUAAAAAUAGCACGCCAUAUGAGUAUAAGUAAGAAUACUAAUGAGCUUUCGCUCAUGCUUAUGAACUGAUCCAUCUACUUAUAUAGAAUGAUGAGAUGUGAUCAUGCACGUGCACUAUCCAAUUUCUUACUACUAAUUAGAUAAGUUCAGCUAUAACGGAGUAUAAGUAAGAAUACUAAUAAGUUCAGCUAUAAAAAUAGCACGCCAUAUGAGUAUAAGUAAGAAUACUAAUGAGCUUUCGCUCAUGCUUAUGAACUGAUCCAUCUACUUAUAUAGAAUGAUGAGAUGUGAUCAUGCACGUGCACUAUCCAAUUUCUUACUACUAAUUAGAUAAGUUCAGCUAUAACGGAGUUGGUAUCAUGCCCUUUUACAUUGUGUACAUUGUUUGGUGUUCAAGAUAAAAUCAUGAUGUUUUUUUCUCAUUUGAAUGUGAAUGACAUGAUGCGUGUUUCUGUGCUCGUUGGUCCUCUUUUGUCCUGACCAUUAUGAAUUUAUAGCAUUUCAUAUAUACAUAAUUAAUUUUUCCCAUUUAGAUAUCAUAUGAUUUUCCUUCUACCAAUACUACUAUUUAUGGUCUCAUGCCUCUCUGUCAGGAUUCUCAGUGGUCUCAUGCCUCUCUGUCAGGAUUCUCCCAAUUUGAAAGAGGUACACAAACGUUACUUUCUUUGUCAGGGUUUGUCUACAUUUAUCUUUAAGGCUACAACCUGGAGUCUCAUGGGGGUGUGGAGAUGAUACCUAAGUAAUCUAGGGCAUUGCUUUGUUAGGGGUUCACUUAUGUACAAGAAUGGCAUGUUCUUUCUUGUGUAAUAUAUCGUGGGUUUUUUUCUGCUCAACACCAUCUAGACUAUGUAUCAUUGUAACCUGCUUUAUGGUUUGGACCUGAGCGCUGGAGCAUGGUGCUGGACAGGGAACGAGUCCCUAAGACCGCUCUUUGGAAUUCCAAUAUAGAUGAAGAUAGAAGUGAAAUUUGAGGGCCAACAAAUAUGUUGUAUCGUGGAUGUCCCCCUUUACAUCAUUGUUUUAUGAAAUGCACUAACGCUCCUGGAAGGUUGUUCUGAGUAUAUUUGUAUAUUUUUUACAACAAGUAUGAUUUGGUGUGAAGUUAUCCAAUGUCGUGUGAUGAACCUUGAUGUUUAGUAUUGAAUCAUUAGUAAGUGUUUAGUAACCUGCUUUUUUAGAUGUUACCUUUGUAGCGGAGUUGUUUUUGGCAUAACUUUAAUCUAUAUUGGGCAGUUGCCUUGCUUAUGCAUGGAUGUGCUGCAAACUUUGUUUUAGAUUAGGACAUUGCUCUCUCAUGUUCGCCCUCUUGGUACUGAACUGGAUGGAAGUGGUU
This 6364-nucleotide long non-coding RNA is filed under the name Triticum aestivum (bread wheat). Its description in RNAcentral is "long non-coding RNA (TAES_LNC022154)". Lineage: Eukaryota; Viridiplantae; Streptophyta; Magnoliopsida; Poales; Poaceae. The record is from RNAcentral.